This 1637-nucleotide ribosomal RNA is filed under the name Salmonella enterica. RNAcentral's name for it is "partial 23S ribosomal RNA". It matches the Rfam family "Bacterial large subunit ribosomal RNA", at positions 1184 to 2803 of the family's 2925-position model. The record is from RNAcentral. Lineage: Bacteria; Pseudomonadati; Pseudomonadota; Gammaproteobacteria; Enterobacterales; Enterobacteriaceae. RNAcentral also lists the same sequence under 1 other name.
AAACCAUGCACCGAAGCUGCGGCAGCGACACUGUGUGUUGUUGGGUAGGGGAGCGUUCUGUAAGCCUGUGAAGGUGUGUCGUGAGGCAUGCUGGAGGUAUCAGAAGUGCGAAUGCUGACAUAAGUAACGAUAAAGCGGGUGAAAAGCCCGCUCGCCGGAAGACCAAGGGUUCCUGUCCAACGUUAAUCGGGGCAGGGUGAGUCGACCCCUAAGGCGAGGCCGAAAGGCGUAGUCGAUGGGAAACGGGUUAAUAUUCCCGUACUUGGUGUUACUGCGAAGGGGGGACGGAGAAGGCUAUGUUGGCCGGGCGACGGUUGUCCCGGUUUAAGCGUGUAGGUGUGUGUUCCAGGUAAAUCCGGUUCACUUUAACACUGAGGCGUGACGACGAGGCACUACGGUGCUGAAGCAACAAAUGCCCUGCUUCCAGGAAAAGCCUCUAAGCAUCAGGUAACAUCAAAUCGUACCCCAAACCGACACAGGUGGUCAGGUAGAGAAUACCAAGGCGCUUGAGAGAACUCGGGUGAAGGAACUAGGCAAAAUGGUGCCGUAACUUCGGGAGAAGGCACGCUGACACGUAGGUGAAGUGAUUUACUCAUGGAGCUGAAGUCAGUCGAAGAUACCAGCUGGCUGCAACUGUUUAUUAAAAACACAGCACUGUGCAAACACGAAAGUGGACGUAUACGGUGUGACGCCUGCCCGGUGCCGGAAGGUUAAUUGAUGGGGUCAGCGCAAGCGAAGCUCCUGAUCGAAGCCCCGGUAAACGGCGGCCGUAACUAUAACGGUCCUAAGGUAGCGAAAUUCCUUGUCGGGUAAGUUCCGACCUGCACGAAUGGCGUAAUGAUGGCCAGGCUGUCUCCACCCGAGACUCAGUGAAAUUGAACUCGCUGUGAAGAUGCAGUGUACCCGCGGCAAGACGGAAAGACCCCGUGAACCUUUACUAUAGCUUGACACUGAACAUUGAGCCUUGAUGUGUAGGAUAGGUGGGAGGCUUUGAAGUGUGGACGCCAGUCUGCAUGGAGCCGACCUUGAAAUACCACCCUUUAAUGUUUGAUGUUCUAACGUGGACCCGUUACCCGGGUUGCGGACAGUGUCUGGUGGGUAGUUUGACUGGGGCGGUCUCCUCCUAAAGAGUAACGGAGGAGCACGAAGGUUGGCUAAUCCUGGUCGGACAUCAGGAGGUUAGUGCAAUGGCAUAAGCCAGCUUGACUGCGAGCGUGACGGCGCGAGCAGGUGCGAAAGCAGGUCAUAGUGAUCCGGUGGUUCUGAAUGGAAGGGCCAUCGCUCAACGGAUAAAAGGUACUCCGGGGAUAACAGGCUGAUACCGCCCAAGAGUUCAUAUCGACGGCGGUGUUUGGCACCUCGAUGUCGGCUCAUCACAUCCUGGGGCUGAAGUAGGUCCCAAGGGUAUGGCUGUUCGCCAUUUAAAGUGGUACGCGAGCUGGGUUUAGAACGUCGUGAGACAGUUCGGUCCCUAUCUGCCGUGGGCGCUGGAGAACUGAGGGGGGCUGCUCCUAGUACGAGAGGACCGGAGUGGACGCAUCACUGGUGUUCGGGUUGUCAUGCCAAUGGCACUGCCCGGUAGCUAAAUGCGGAAGAGAUAAGUGCUGAAAGCAUCUAAGCACGAAACUUGCCCCGAG